Molecule: long non-coding RNA, 747 nt
Organism: Exaiptasia diaphana
Lineage: Eukaryota; Metazoa; Cnidaria; Anthozoa; Actiniaria; Aiptasiidae
Exons: 3
Source: RefSeq, a predicted model, not a curated record
CAUAUCUAGACCUAUAUCUAACAAGAUUCUAUGCUGCAGUCUUCCAUAACAAUAUGGUCAUCCAUUCAUGACUGUUUCCAACGACUGAUACUUAGUUAAUAUAUUCUGACAUAAUCUGCGUUUAUAGUUUAUUUGGGAAACACCCCGAGUCAUUUGACUAGUCGUCAGUACAUUGCCUUCGUGUUAGCGCAUCGGUCUUCAAAAGAACAACUCCCAUCUGAAGUUCAUCUAUAAGUCUUCGUGAAAUAUUCCAGUCUUUGAUGAGACAUCAAUAUAAAAGGAUUUAAAGAAGUGCUACUCACAAAGACAGUUCCCUCGUAUUAGAAACAAACUUUCAAAUCAAACAUUGGAACAGGCAAAUCUUUCCAAAAAUACAGAAAACGACGCCACUAAGCAGUAAUGGAGGACCUCAUUGUUUGAACUCUGUGUGUUACCAACAAAUGUAAGGCCAUAUUGAUAAACAACUGUGAGUCAAGUACAAUUCCAGUACAUUGGAAUAACAAAAGUUUUGAAAACACCAUAAAAGGUAAGUUUCUUUUUAUAAAUCAUAAUCUUAUUGGCCUGUUUGAUGUUUGCAUUUUGCUAGCGAUCAAUGCGUCACCAGAAUGCAAGGUCUGACAUUACGAUUUAACUGAAUAAAAGUAUAAAAACAUUGAUAUAAGUGAUAGCAGUCUAGGGUCUGAAUGGGCUGAACCGACUAGCGACAAAUGGACAAAAUAACAACUGACUAGCGACAAAUGGACAAAA